CAGAUGCCAGACGUUUUACUAUUCAAAUAAGGCCCCAGUGUUUUUCUUACAAUGCAGGAGACAUAUUGUACUCAGGAUGAGCCCUUCUAGCCACAUAUAUUUGGCUGAUUUCUUGCUUCCAAAAUGAAAUACGAACAGGGAACUCUGAGAUAAGCACACAGACACAAAGUCAAGACAGCCAAACAAAAAUGCACAUGGCUGAAAGAAGGCUAAUCAAAGGCACAGGAUUGAAAGCAAAGAGAAUGAAGGCAGGGCAGGUGAGUUUGUCUUACCACUCUUCAAUCCUGACUCACACAGCAACAAUUAAUAAUGAUAAUAAAACGUACCCACGUAGGGCUUGUCAAAUAAUUCCACCAGGGACUUAAGCUAUCAGAUCUUGUUAAAAGCAGCAUUAAACACUCACCUUUUCCAACACUGACUUAGCCAUGGAAGCCACGCAGUAUGUAUGGAACAUGCAAGGCAAUACAAAUAAACCAAGAUACUUGCAAGCAGCCAAAUAUGAAUAAAUGGAGAGAGGAACAAGUUUAGCGGUGGAUUAGAAAGCAGUUCAAGGGAUAUCUAUCAAUAUAUCUAGGAUCAAAAAGUUUCACUUUAAGAAAAGAGUUAAGGCGCUUAAAAAUUCACUCAUGCUCCAAAAAGCACGUAAAUUGAUUUUGAAAAACUAAGCAAAAAGGCAUGCGCUGGCUGAACACAUGAAACACAUUUACUUCUCACUAGGUAUUAGGGAGCAAUUCCACUCAGUUUGCAUUUUAAGGCGAACCUAUGUAAUU
Molecule: non-coding RNA, 770 nt
Organism: Podarcis muralis (Common wall lizard)
Lineage: Eukaryota; Metazoa; Chordata; Lepidosauria; Squamata; Lacertidae
Source: RefSeq, a predicted model, not a curated record